Molecule: ribosomal RNA, 253 nt
Filed under: uncultured bacterium
Lineage: Bacteria
Description: partial 16S ribosomal RNA
Rfam family: Bacterial small subunit ribosomal RNA
Source: RNAcentral
UACGUAGGUGGCGAGCGUUGUCCGGAUUUACUGGGCGUAAAGGGAGCGUAGGCGGACUUUUAAGUGAGAUGUGAAAUACCCGGGCUCAACUUGGGUGCUGCAUUUCAAACUGGAAGUCUAGAGUGCAGGAGAGGAGAAUGGAAUUCCUAGUGUAGCGGUGAAAUGCGUAGAGAUUAGGAAGAACACCAGUGGCGAAGGCGAUUCUCUGGACUGUAACUGACGCUGAGACGCGAAAGCGUGGGGAGCGAACAGG